UACGUAGGGGGCUAGCGUUGUCCGGAAUCAUUGGGCGUAAAGAGCGUGUAGGCGGCCCGGUAAGUCCGCUGUGAAAGUCGGGGGCUCAACCCUCGAAUGCCGGUGGAUACUGUCGGGCUAGAGUGCGGAAGAGGCGAGUGGAAUUCCUGGUGUAGCGGUGAAAUGCGCAGAUAUCAGGAAGAACACCAAUGGCGAAGGCAGCUCUCUGGGACGGUACUGACGCUGAGACGCGAAAGCGUGGGGAGCAAACAGG
This 253-nucleotide ribosomal RNA is filed under the name uncultured bacterium. Its description in RNAcentral is "partial 16S ribosomal RNA". It matches the Rfam family "Bacterial small subunit ribosomal RNA", at positions 524 to 776 of the family's 1533-position model. The record is from RNAcentral.